GACGAACGCUGGCGGCGUGCCUAACACAUGCAAGUCGAACGGGGGGAACAUGAAGUAUUUCGGUACGGAAUGCGCCCCUAGUGGCGAACGGGUGAGUAACACGUGGGCAACCUGCCCCAGACUGGGGGAUAACAUUGUGAAAACAGUGCUAAUACCGCAUGACAGGGUUCCGGGCAUCCGGGACCCUUGAAAGGAGAAAUCCGGUCAGGGAUGGGCCCGCGUCCAAUUAGCUAGUUGGCGGGGUAACGGCCCACCAAGGCGACGAUUGGUAGCCAAACUGAGAGGUUGAUCGGCCACAUUGGGACUGAGACACGGCCCAGACUCCUACGGAGGCAGCAGUGGGAAUAUUGGGCAAUGGGCGAAAGCCUGACCCAGCGACGCCGCGUGAAGGAUGAAGGUCUUCGGAUUGUAAACUUCUUUGAUCAGGGAAGAAAGAAAUGACGGUACCUGAAAACAAGCCACGGCUAACUACGUG
RNAcentral lists this ribosomal RNA (475 nucleotides) under uncultured bacterium. RNAcentral's name for it is "bacterial SSU rRNA". It matches the Rfam family "Bacterial small subunit ribosomal RNA", at positions 28 to 507 of the family's 1533-position model. The record is from RNAcentral.